Molecule: non-coding RNA, 1924 nt
Organism: Sebastes umbrosus (honeycomb rockfish)
Lineage: Eukaryota; Metazoa; Chordata; Actinopteri; Perciformes; Sebastidae
Source: the annotation of a RefSeq genome assembly
UCUCUUAUAAACACACCAUCAGCAACUGGUGGCAGAACUCUGGAACAGUUUUAUAUAUUUCUGAAACACUCAGAUCAGAAAGCUCUGAACUAGAGCGUUUAUCCCAGAAAUGGAAAAUACAAUUAUCUGGAGUUUAUUAUUUGUAGUUGCUAUUCAUGGAGUCUGGAGUGAGAUCAAACUGGACCAGUCUCCCUCUGAGGUGAAAAGACCUGGAGAGACAGUGAAGAUGUCCUGUAUCAUAUCUGGUUAUAGCAUGACAAGCUACAAUAUGCACUGGAUACGACAGAGACCAGGAGAAGCUCUGGAGUGGAUUGGGUGGAUGAGCACAGGUAGAAACUCUGCUAGCUAUGCCAGCUCCUUUCAAAGCCGUUUCAUCAUGACUGAAGAUGUGGCCAGCAGCACUCAGUACCUCGAGGUCAAGAGCCUGACAGCACAAGACUCUGCUGUUUACUUCUGUGCUCGACACACACACUGUGAUGCUUUUGACUACUGGGGUCGUGGGACUGAAGUCACAGUAUCUACCGUAAACGCCGCAUCGCCGACUCUGUUCCCGUUGGUUCAGUGCACACCCGGCUCUGCAGAUAAAGUCACCGUUGGUUGUCUGGCAAAGGACUACUACCCAAAGAGUCUUAUUUUCCAGUGGACCGACGGCAGCGGGAACACCCAGACUUCUGUGCAAUAUCCUCCGGUUGAGAAAAACAACAAAUACACAGGAGUCAGUUUGUUGCAAGUACAAAAGUCUGACUGGGAUUCAAAGAGCUCUUUUAAUUGUUCCGUGACUCACCCUGGAGGCCAAAAAAGCGUGACACUGGAAAAACCCACCCCUCCAAAGGUAACUUUGCUAGCGGUGCCAGGAGGAGACGAUCAGACUCUGGUGUGUACAAUUCAGGACCUCAUUUCAGAUGAACUGUCAGUUAAAUGGAAAAAGGAUGUAAACGAUGUCACUGGCUUCACCACUUGGGCCGCCCAAAAGACUGGAAGCCUAUAUUCAGCUGUCAGUGUCCUGAAGGUCAGGAACACAGACUGGGACAGUGACGCUGUUUACACAUGUGAGGUGAUGCACCAAGGAACAAAGCAUACGAAGAAGGUCACUAAAGCUCCCAUCACAAUGACACUGAGGCAUUCAAGUCCCAAAGACGUGUUCAUCAACAACCAGGCUAAGCUGGAGUGUGUCGUUACCGGACAGGACAUUGGUCAAAUUCAGAUAACUUGGGAAAUCGAUGGACAAGAUGUGACCGGCAACAACACUGAAACGACAACGUCUGGAAGCAAAAUCAGCACGAUCACUCGCAGUCGUACCGACUGGAAGGGAGUCAACACGGUGCGCUGUUUGGCCCUUAGAGACAAUAUGACACCAGUUAUUCAAGACCUGACUUUCAACAAAGGAGAUGAGAGCGAGCCGAAAGUAACCGUCCACGUCCUCCCAGAGGAGGACAUCUCAUCAAACCCAGCUAAGGUCACUCUGGUGUGUCUGGUCUCCAGUCGUCUGAAGACGGAUUACUACAUCGCCUGGUUAGAACAUAUUGGACGAGAUGUCAGCAGCUACACCGAUGGCAUUGACUCCCUCCCGCAGAAGAACCAAGACGGCUACUCAGUUACAAGCAUUUACACCACCACCAAGGACAAGUGGGACAAGUACACCAUAUUCUCCUGCAACGCCUGUCCUGCUACUAACAAUAACUCCAUGAGAUCCCGAGACGUGUCUAAGGCCCAGAAUAACUCGAGUCUUUGUAAGAAAUAGCAGAUUUAAAUGUGGCAUUUUGUGCUAAUGUGUUGUACUGUGUCUGCCGUGGGAACCCGUCUUUGUGAUUGUAAAUCUUACAGUCAGUUUACUCUCGUUUGUCAUCCUAUUGUGUUUCAAUCUGUCUUCGUCACAUUGUCUAACAGCUCUAAAGUGUGCUUUCAAAUAAAUGUUGCAUGGAGA